This 463-nucleotide ribosomal RNA is filed under the name Asphondylia sarothamni. Its description in RNAcentral is "partial large subunit ribosomal RNA". It matches the Rfam family "Eukaryotic large subunit ribosomal RNA", at positions 329 to 657 of the family's 3401-position model. The record is from RNAcentral. Lineage: Eukaryota; Metazoa; Arthropoda; Insecta; Diptera; Cecidomyiidae.
CGAAACCGAUAGCGAACAAGUACCGUGAGGGAAAGUUGAAAAGUACUCUGAAUAGAGAGUUAAAUAGUACGUGAAACCGCUUAGGGGUUAAGCCCGAUGAACCCGAAUAUCUGAUGUGAGAAAUUCAAUACUGUUCAUUUAAUUAAUGCGAUAGUAUGCACUUUUCUCAUAGUAGGACAUUGUAAUCCAUUGAUAUUAUAUCAUUUUCACAUUAUAUGGGAUAUGAUGAUUUAACAUACGAACAAAAUGUAUAAGUUUAUUCUAUCAGUGAUAUGUUUACAUGUCAUAUGAAUAAGAUCGUUUUGUAUCCGUUUAAAUAGUCGAUGGAUUUUAAACUGAAUCAUGCUUGCAAUUUAUUUUGCGUUUCGUAUUAUUGGCUAUUUAAUUGGUUGAUAAUAGCAGAAAUGGCAUGCAUUCGAUUAACAAUGCGAUAGAUUUGGGAUACUUUCAGGACCCGUCUUGA